GUAGGGAAUCUUCCACAAUGGACGCAAGUCUGAUGGAGCAACGCCGCGUGAGUGAAGAAGGUCUUCGGAUCGUAAAGCUCUGUUGUUGGUGAAGAAGGAUAGAGGCAGUAACUGGUCUUUAUUUGACGGUAAUCAACCAGAAAGUCACGGCUAACUACGUGCCAGCAGCCGCGGUAAUACGUAGGUGGCAAGCGUUGUCCGGAUUUAUUGGGCGUAAAGCGAGCGCAGGCGGAAUGAUAAGUCUGAUGUGAAAGCCCACGGCUCAACCGUGGAACUGCAUCGGAAACUGUCAUUCUUGAGUGCAGAAGAGGAGAGUGGAACUCCAUGUGUAGCGGUGGAAUGCGUAGAUAUAUGGAAGAACACCAGUGGCGAAGGCGGCUCUCUGGUCUGCAACUGACGCUGAGGCUCGAAAGCAUGGGUAGCGAACAGGAUUAGAUACCCUGGUAGUCCAUGCCGUAAACGAUGAGCGC
This 470-nucleotide ribosomal RNA is filed under the name uncultured bacterium. Its description in RNAcentral is "partial 16S ribosomal RNA". It matches the Rfam family "Bacterial small subunit ribosomal RNA", at positions 354 to 816 of the family's 1533-position model. The record is from RNAcentral.